Molecule: ribosomal RNA, 444 nt
Filed under: uncultured bacterium
Lineage: Bacteria
Description: bacterial SSU rRNA
Rfam family: Bacterial small subunit ribosomal RNA
Source: RNAcentral
CCUACGGGGGGCUGCAGUCGAGAAUCUUCCGCAAUGGACGAAAGUCUGACGGAGCGACGCCGCGUGAUUGAUGAAGCAUUUCGGUGUGUAAAGAUCUUUUAUGAGGGAAGAAGUUUAUUGACGGUACCUCAUGAAUAAGGGGCUCCUAAUCUCGUGCCAGCAGGAGCGGUAAUACGAGAGCCCCGAGCGUUAUCCGGAAUUAUUGGGCGUAAAGGGUGCGUAGGUGGCAUUGUUAGUCGUUUGUCAAAUCCUCGGGCUUAACUCGAGAACCGCGAACGAAACGGCAGUGCUAGAGAGUGUGGGGGGUAUAGGGAACUCAUGGUGUAGGGGUGAAAUCCGUUGAUAUCAUGGGGAACACCAAAAGCGAAGGCACUAUACUAACACAUAUCUGACACUCAAGCACGAAAGCGUGGGUAGCGAACGGGCUUAGAUACCCCUGUAGUC